RNAcentral lists this non-coding RNA (30 nucleotides) under Homo sapiens (human). The record is from RNAcentral. Lineage: Eukaryota; Metazoa; Chordata; Mammalia; Primates; Hominidae.
GAGACCAGCCUGACCAACAUGGUGGAACCC